Long non-coding RNA from Frieseomelitta varia, 193 nucleotides. RefSeq lists it as uncharacterized. The record is from RefSeq and is a predicted model, not a curated record. The transcript is spliced from 3 exons. Lineage: Eukaryota; Metazoa; Arthropoda; Insecta; Hymenoptera; Apidae.
GAGAAGCGUAAAACAUACGUACGCCUCUCCCAUUACUCUCGCGCCUAAGUUGGAAAUUCAUGGCAGUUGGAGGAACGAGGCGAGAUCUUUGCAAACAUUCGGCUUUUAGGUUGGAGAUGUAUGCCGCGGCUGUAUUAAAUUUAUAACCACGUGUACGAAAUAGCACACGUCUGAACUCACAUUAACAGCAAAA